AUUGAACGCUGGCGGCAGGCCUAACACAUGCAAGUCGAGCGGCAGCGGGAAAGUAGCUUGCUACUUUUGCCGGCGAGCGGCGGACGGGUGAGUAAUGCCUGGGAAAUUGCCCAGUCGAGGGGGAUAACAGUUGGAAACGACUGCUAAUACCGCAUACGCCCUACGGGGGAAAGCAGGGGACCUUCGGGCCUUGCGCGAUUGGAUAUGCCCAGGUGGGAUUAGCUAGUUGGUGAGGUAAUGGCUCACCAAGGCGACGAUCCCUAGCUGGUCUGAGAGGAUGAUCAGCCACAUUGGGACUGAGACACGGCCCAAACUCCUACGGGAGGCAGCAGUGGGGAAUCUUGCGCAAUGGGCGAAAGCCUGACGCAGCCAUGCCGCGUGAAUGAUGAAGGUCUUAGGAUUGUAAAAUUCUUUCACCGGGGACGAUAAUGACGUUACUCGCAGAAGAAGCACCGGCUAACUCCGUGCCAGCAGCCGCGGUAAUACGGAGGGUGCAAGCGUUAAUCGGAAUUACUGGGCGUAAAGCGCACGCAGGCGGUUGGAUAAGUUAGAUGUGAAAGCCCCGGGCUCAACCUGGGAAUUGCAUUUAAAACUGUCCAGCUAGAGUCUUGUAGAGGGGGGUAGAAUUCCAGGUGUAGCGGUGAAAUGCGUAGAGAUCUGGAGGAAUACCGGUGGCGAAGGCGGCCCCCUGGACAAAGACUGACGCUCAGGUGCGAAAGCGUGGGGAGCAAACAGG
This 736-nucleotide ribosomal RNA is filed under the name uncultured Aeromonadaceae bacterium. RNAcentral describes it as "bacterial SSU rRNA". It matches the Rfam family "Bacterial small subunit ribosomal RNA", at positions 28 to 776 of the family's 1533-position model. Lineage: Bacteria; Pseudomonadati; Pseudomonadota; Gammaproteobacteria; Aeromonadales; Aeromonadaceae. The record is from RNAcentral.